GCUACGUUGGCCGAGAGGCGAGGUUGCGCUCUGCAAAAGCGUGUACACUGGUUCAAAUCCAGUACGUAGCU
This 71-nucleotide transfer RNA is filed under the name Candidatus Scalindua sp. Its description in RNAcentral is "tRNA-Cys". It matches the Rfam family "tRNA". From Rfam's summary of the family: Transfer RNA (tRNA) molecules are approximately 80 nucleotides in length. Their secondary structure includes four short double-helical elements and three loops (D, anti-codon, and T loops). Further hydrogen bonds mediate the characteristic L-shaped molecular structure. tRNAs have two regions of fundamental functional importance: the anti-codon, which is responsible for specific mRNA codon recognition, and the 3' end, to which the tRNAs corresponding amino acid is attached (by aminoacyl-tRNA synthetases). tRNAs cope with the degeneracy of the genetic code in two manners: having more than one tRNA (with a specific anti-codon) for a particular amino acid; and 'wobble' base-pairing, i.e. permitting non-standard base-pairing at the 3rd anti-codon position. Lineage: Bacteria; Pseudomonadati; Planctomycetota; Candidatus Brocadiia; Candidatus Brocadiales; Candidatus Scalinduaceae. The record is from RNAcentral.